ACCAAAACCAGGCAGCGUGGUUUGCUGUUUUGAUAACCACUAUCUUUUUCCAUCACAGUGAAGGUCAUCUUAUGAACCUCUGACAUUUGAUGAUCAUUAUGUCAAAAGCCUUUUGGGGUACUCAGACCCUUAGACUCUACAUGACUGGCCCAUGCUGGAAAAUAGAGUGUGGUUGUCUGCCACCUGUUUUGGACAGAAACAGAUACCUUUAGGACACUGAGGGGAUGGCUUAGACUGUUGACCUGGAGCUGGAAGUUGUCCCCUGAAUAAUCACUUCAUCUCUGGCACCAGCUAAGGGUAUGUGUUGUAACCUUAUGGAACUCUCUUAUUAAACUAGUUGAAAGGGGAGUGUGGGUUUUGUUUGGCUUUUUUAUUUUUCCCAAUAAUUCUAACAGGAGGUUGUUCCAGUCUUUAGCAGUUGCCCAUCUCAAG
Molecule: long non-coding RNA, 432 nt
Filed under: Zonotrichia albicollis (white-throated sparrow)
Lineage: Eukaryota; Metazoa; Chordata; Aves; Passeriformes; Passerellidae
Description: lncRNA (ENSZALG00000017945.1)
Source: RNAcentral